This 1204-nucleotide non-coding RNA is filed under the name synthetic construct. The record is from RNAcentral.
GUCAGUUGUUAGGAGGAGAGGAGACGGGACUGGGUUCAGAUAUUCAUAUAUGUCCAAAAUGAGCACAGAUUUCCCGGCAGGCCCCACCAGAUGUGCCACUGUGUUAUACUUUGAUGGUGGGAUUGCGGUGGGUAAGACCACCGCCCUGGAGGCUGCUGCUGAGUUUCUGCACAACAUACUUGUGAUCUCAGAACCUAUUCCUUACUGGACUUCCACUUUUGACAAAAAUGUCUGUCAGCAGAUCUACGAUGUGGUCAAGACCAAAGAAAAGGGGAAGAAGCACUCCAAAAAAGUGUUGCAAUGCCAAAUGGCCUUUGCCCAGCCUUUUCAUGCCACCCAGCACCUACUCCGCCGGACGUGUCUAGGUACCAAGGUCUCCGAUGGAACAUGUAACAAUUAUGUGUUGAUUGACAGGCAUAUGGUGUCUCCCACAGUCAUCUUUCCUUGCCUGUUUUUCAGAUUGGGGGUGUUGAGGUUCUGUGAUUUGUUAUCACUAUUGUCUGUGUUUUCAGCACAAAAAUUUGAUAAUGUUGUCUUGUUUAAACUCCAUCCCAAAGUAGCUGCGACCCGAGUCAAGGAGAGGGGGAGAAACCCAGAAGGUGUGAUCAACCACACGUACCUGCAACUCCUCAAUGAAGUAUUGGAUGCCAUUUUUUGUGCCUGGGAACUGUUGGCGAUCGUGCCUCCUGAAGUUAUUGUGGAUGCUAUGCUUUCCCAGACUUCAGUUAAGACUGUGUUUCAGAAGGCUGGCUUUGUUGCACCCAGGGCAAGGCUUAUGGAACAGAUGUUUAGAGAUAGUAUUUUUAAUGACUUGAGAGAAAAUGUGCGUCAGUUGCCACUACAUGGAUCAUCCAUCCCAACCUUGCUACAUAAAUUUUGUUAUGAACUAUCCAAACCACAUAUGGUUAAACUAGAUGCUGGACAGUUUCCUAACGAUGUUCCCGGUUUGUGGACUCACAUAUAUACCCAAAUACUCACAGACCCGGCUAUUAAAACAUGCGACCUGAAAUGGAAUAUCCUAGAAAAGGGCAUAUCUGGUGGAGACCCUCAGUAGUAAUAAAUAGCCAAGCACAAUGGUGACAUGUUUGAAAAAUUUGUUUCUUUACUGUAUCUUUGUGUCCAUGAUGGUGUGGUUGGUGCAUGGGGUAGGCGAUCGUGAUAGUAAGGGCGAGGGGGCCACAAUAAAGGUUAAAAGAAAUGAUAA